UACGGGGGGGGCAAGCGUUGUUCGGAAUUACUGGGCGUAAAGGGCUCGUAGGCGGCUCGUUAAGUCAGACGUGAAAGCCCUCGGCUUAACCGGGGAACGGCGUCUGAGACUGGCAGCUUGAAUCCGGGAGAGGGAUGCGGAAUUCCAGGUGUAGCGGUGAAAUGCGUAGAUAUCUGGAGGAACACCGGUGGCGAAGGCGGCAUCCUGGACCGGUAUUGACGCUGAGGAGCGAAAGCCAGGGGAGCAAACGGG
This 252-nucleotide ribosomal RNA is filed under the name uncultured bacterium. RNAcentral's name for it is "partial 16S ribosomal RNA". It matches the Rfam family "Bacterial small subunit ribosomal RNA", at positions 524 to 776 of the family's 1533-position model. The record is from RNAcentral.